AUUGAACGCUGGCGGCAUGCCUUACACAUGCAAAUCGAACGGUAACGGGCCUUCGGGUGCCGACGAGUGGCGAACGGGUGAGUAAUACAUCGGAACGUGCCCGAUCGUGGGGGAUAACGAGGCGAAAGCUUUGCUAAUACCGAAUACGAUCUACGGAUGAAAGCAGGGGACCGCAAGGCCUUGCGCGGACGGAGCGGCCGAUGGCAGAUUAGGUAGUUGGUGGGUUAAAAGCUUACCAAGCCGACGAUCUGUAGCUGGUCUGAGAGGAUGAUCAGCCACACUGGAACUGAGACACGGCCCAGACUCCUACGGGAGGCAGCAGUGGGGAAUUUUGGACAAUGGGCGCAAGCCUGAUCCAGCCAUGCCGCGUGCAGGAUGAAGGCCUUCGGGUUGUAAACUGAUUUUGUACGGAACGAAAAGCCUUCUUUUAAUACAGGAGGGUCAUGACGGUACCGUAAGAAUAAGCACCGGCUAACUACGUG
Molecule: ribosomal RNA, 482 nt
Filed under: uncultured bacterium
Lineage: Bacteria
Description: partial 16S ribosomal RNA
Rfam family: Bacterial small subunit ribosomal RNA
Source: RNAcentral